RNAcentral lists this long non-coding RNA (318 nucleotides) under Mytilus galloprovincialis (Mediterranean mussel). Lineage: Eukaryota; Metazoa; Mollusca; Bivalvia; Mytilida; Mytilidae. The record is from RNAcentral.
UAAAGGAGUAGGUCCGGUAAGGGCCGAUUUUGACCCCAAAUUUCACGUUCAUCGAACGAAAGAUUUUGGACACUUUUUAAACACUUAAGUGUCUAUUUAAAUUGAUUCAAUUAGUUUCUGUAAAGAAUUUUAACUGAUUUAGUAAUUAAAAACGCUCCGAUUCAAGCUUAAAUAUGAAAAAUAUAUCAAAUAUGCCAAAAAACGUCACUUUUCAGAUGGUUUUUGUCAAAAAUGAAAAUGACCGCAUCCGUGUUCAUCCUCAACCUUUAUAUAUGUUAUGUAUUAUCAUCAAAUACAACUUACAUUUCAAUAUUAUGA